ACGCUGGCGGCGUGCCUAAUACAUGCAAGUCGAGCGGACAGAAGGGAGCUUGCUCCCGGAUGUUAGCGGCGGACGGGUGAGUAACACGUGGGUAACCUGCCUGUAAGACUGGGAUAACUCCGGGAAACCGGAGCUAAUACCGGAUAGUUCCUUGAACCGCAUGGUUCAAGGAUGAAAGACGGUUUCGGCUGUCACUUACAGAUGGACCCGCGGCGCAUUAGCUAGUUGGUGGGGUAAUGGCUCACCAAGGCGACGAUGCGUAGCCGACCUGAGAGGGUGAUCGGCCACACUGGGACUGAGACACGGCCCAGACUCCUACGGGAGGCAGCAGUAGGGAAUCUUCCGCAAUGGACGAAAGUCUGACGGAGCAACGCCGCGUGAGUGAUGAAGGUUUUCGGAUCGUAAAGCUCUGUUGUUAGGGAAGAAACAAGUGCGAGAGUAACUGCUCGCACCUUGACGCCUACAAGCCGA
Molecule: ribosomal RNA, 471 nt
Filed under: Bacillus pumilus
Lineage: Bacteria; Bacillati; Bacillota; Bacilli; Caryophanales; Bacillaceae
Description: bacterial SSU rRNA
Rfam family: Bacterial small subunit ribosomal RNA
Source: RNAcentral